GCUCCAUUAGCUCAGUUGGAUAGAGCACUCGACUUCUAAUCGAGAGGUCCUCGGUUCGAGCCCGGGAUGGAGCU
Non-coding RNA from Strongyloides stercoralis, 74 nucleotides. NCBI's taxonomy places the organism in Eukaryota, Metazoa, Nematoda, Chromadorea, Rhabditida, Strongyloididae. The record is from Rfam.